UCUGUAGCUAGAUCGUGAGCUAAUAUCACUUUUCUUAUCCUUUCAAUUGGAUCACGUUCCUGUCUCACGCCACUAAUCUCAUCACGAGUACGGUAGGUGCUGCCAGGAUCAGACAUGGAGUGACCAUGAUACCUGUAGGUAUCCAUUUCAAGUAUAAUUGGCCCAUUCCUCAAGACAUGCUCCUUUGCAAAUUUGCAUGCUUGUUUGACAGCAAGAGCAUCCAUGCCAUCUACCUUCAGGCCAGGAACGUAAUCCCCACGCUUGUAGUAAGCGGGACUCUUAGACGCUCUCCACUCCGCCGUCCCCAUACCAUGGUGAUUGUUCUCGCAGAUCAAAAUGACAG
RNAcentral lists this unclassified non-coding RNA (343 nucleotides) under Hevea brasiliensis (rubber tree). Lineage: Eukaryota; Viridiplantae; Streptophyta; Magnoliopsida; Malpighiales; Euphorbiaceae. The record is from RNAcentral.